UACGUAGGUGGCAAGCGUUGUCCGGAUUUACUGGGCGUAAAGAGCGCGCAGGCGGUCGUUCAAGUCGCGUGUGAAAGCCCCCGGCUCAACUGGGGAGGGUCACGCGAUACUGAUCGACUCGAAGGCAGGAGAGGGUAGUGGAAUUCCCGGUGUAGUGGUGAAAUGCGUAGAUAUCGGGAGGAAUACCAGUGGCGAAGGCGGCUUCCUGGCCUGUUCUUGACGCUGAGGCGCGAAAGCUAGGGUAGCAAACGGG
RNAcentral lists this ribosomal RNA (253 nucleotides) under uncultured bacterium. RNAcentral describes it as "partial 16S ribosomal RNA". It matches the Rfam family "Bacterial small subunit ribosomal RNA", at positions 524 to 776 of the family's 1533-position model. The record is from RNAcentral.